ACUUUAGGAUCAAAGUCUUUCACUCGCUUUGAUUCACACCUGAUUCAGUUGUUUAAUCACCUGUUCAGCAGGUCAUGAAGCACUGUAGAAGCACCCACUGAUUCAGAUCAGGUGUGUUGGAGCAGAGAAACAACUAAAACAUGCUGGAUAGGGGUCCUUGAAGACCAGGGUGUGAGGGAACUGCUUUAAAUGGUGUCAAUUCUUCCCACUGUCACCCCGUGCAUUCUCAGAAAGGAUUAGGAUUAGAAGUUGACCAAUAUUGGUUUUUCUAUUGCCGAUAGGUAAACGUCAUGACCAAUAUAUUGGUCUACCCCUAAUUAUGAUGAAGAUGCAAUCUGCCUUACUGCUUAAAUACUCAUAACACACUGAGACUGGUUAUAUUGCAGCUUGAUUAAAUUGACUGCAAAUAGUUGGAUUUAAUCUGGGUUUGGAUUAGGUGUUUAGCUUUAUUGCAGAGCACCCUGAGAUGACUUUUGCUGGUGACUUUAUAAAUAAACUGAGUUGAAUUACAUACAGCAUGAUACAAAUCAUGACUGUUUAGUGCUGACAUCACACCAGGCUCUCAGAGGACUUCAGCACGCCUCACUGGAGAUGCGGCCGUCUGUACUUCGGUUGUCGGGGAGAAUCAAGUGCUGACAUGCCUACUGACAACUGACAACAGGCACAUGGGAACCCCGCCUCUAAAAAUGAUUUAUUACCUCUUUACAUCUAAGGGGAGGAUUUAAUCCCCAGAAUAUAAUUUGAUAAAUAUUCAUAUAAAAUAAGCAUGUUCUGUAGGUAAGGACUGGUAAAACUCCAGACUAUUGUAAAAGUAAAGGUGAAAUGAAUAAAUAAGAGUAAAAUCCAUUUCUUGUAUGAAUAACAACUGAACUGGAUUACGACCUUAAAAAAAUCCACCAAUGAGGACUGAAAAUCUAAAACUGACACCAAUCUUUCAAACUCCCACAAGGUGACACAAAGUCCCGUGUGUCUAAUUGAACAGUGGUUGGACAAACAUCUGCCAAAAGCCACAGUUGAAAUCCAUAUGGUGGGAAGAUAACUGACAUGUGCAGGUCUGGGCUUGACAUGAGCACGGAUACAUAAACAGAUGGUGUGGGUGGGUGGGUGGGUGGAGGUGGCUGGAGGGUUGAAGUCAAACACUGGUACCCUCUUCUACCCUUUCACGUUUAGAAAAUCAUGUGACAAGUGACACUUUCGGCAAAUGCCACGGUAAAUGUUCCCUUUGCUCUAAUGACUUGUGUUUAAUUCAAUCAUCGCAGGACUCUGUAUAAAAGGUAAACAGAUCUGGUUGGUAACUGAUACAUGCCACCAAACAGAAUAAUAUACAGUUUAGCUGAAUGCAAGUAUAAUAAAAUACUAACAGAUUCAGUAAUACCAUGCUCUGGUUUUUAAGACAAAACAAAAAAAAAAGAGGGGAAAAAGAAAACAAAGGAUUAGGAGUGUAAAGAGCAAA
Nothobranchius furzeri (turquoise killifish) is the source of this 1453-nucleotide non-coding RNA. The record is from RefSeq and is a predicted model, not a curated record. NCBI's taxonomy places the organism in Eukaryota, Metazoa, Chordata, Actinopteri, Cyprinodontiformes, Nothobranchiidae.